Molecule: ribosomal RNA, 492 nt
Filed under: uncultured bacterium
Lineage: Bacteria
Description: partial 16S ribosomal RNA
Rfam family: Bacterial small subunit ribosomal RNA
Source: RNAcentral
AGUGAACGCUGGCGGUAGGCCUAACACAUGCAAGUCGAACGGCAGCACAGUAAGAGCUUGCUCUUACGGGUGGCGAGUGGCGGACGGGUGAGGAAUACAUCGGAAUCUACUUUUUCGUGGGGGAUAACGUAGGGAAACUUACGCUAAUACCGCAUACGACCUACGGGUGAAAGCAUGGGAUCUUCGGACCUUGCGCGAUUGAAUGAGCCGAUGUCGGAUUAGCUAGUUGGCGGGGUAAAGGCCCACCAAGGCGACGAUCCGUAGCUGGUCUGAGAGGAUGAUCAGCCACACUGGAACUGAGACACGGUCCAGACUCCUACGGGAGGCAGCAGUGGGGAAUAUUGGACAAUGGGCGCAAGCCUGAUCCAGCCAUACCGCGUGGGUGAAGAAGGCCUUCAGGUUGUAAAGCCCUUUUGUUGGGAAAGAAAAGCAGCAGGUUAAUACCCCGCUGUUCUGACGGUACCCAAAGAAUAAGCACCGGCUAACUUCGUG